Molecule: RNA transcript, 3400 nt
Organism: Patella vulgata (common limpet)
Lineage: Eukaryota; Metazoa; Mollusca; Gastropoda; Patellidae
Gene name: serine/threonine-protein kinase TNNI3K-like
Exons: 4
Source: RefSeq, a predicted model, not a curated record
UUAUAUAUAAGGUGUGAUACCUUAAACAAGACAUCUAUUAUACCUGGCGGCACACGACUCCUACUAUACCUAGAACAAGACACCUACUACAAGACAUCUACUAUACCUGGAACACGACAUCAACUCUACCUGGAACAAGACAUCUACUCUACCUGAAACAAGACACCUACCUAGAACACGACAUCUACUAAACCUGAAACGAGACACCGGGCCGAUACCUUUAUAUGAACAUCUGAAGCUAAGUACAGAUAAAAGACCAGGUGAAGUAAGAUACCUAUCUAGGUCCAGAAUACAAAUAAUAAAAAUCUGUUAUCAAGAUGGCGAGCUACCAAGUAAAACAGAAAGGUCGAAUGCCUGACGACCACUAUAGGAAAAUCCAAGCCAAUUUCUGCUACCUAGCGGAUCAUAUCAAGGAACCAGUAAAGCUUGGUAAUAAAUUAUUUGAAAAAAAUGUAUUCGACGCAGAUGAAACUGACGAAAUAAAGAAAAUUUACAUGAACGCUGAAAAGGGCCGCUAUGCAGCUGCCGACAAGCUACUGAUGUAUGUCUUGUCAAACUGUGGUGAUGCCUAUGGUAGAUUCAUCCUAUGUGUAAAAGAACUAGGUUACACAGAAAUCGUCAAUGUAUUAGAAAACACCACGAAUGGUAAAAAUAAAACCAAUCUGAUGACAGAACAAGACAAGACAAGACAUCAGCUAGAUGACAUAUAUAAUACUAGCAGGAUACCCGGCUACGCUCGGGGGUCAUAACUUCGAAACCGGAAGUGGUAGACUAACGCCGCCUGGCCCAUGUUACUCCCCAGUCCGAGCUACCCCUAUACCCCAAAUUCAGACUCGGGCCAGACCUAGUGUAGCCGCCAACCCCGAACAGACAGACAGACAGACAAACGACAGUCACAAAUAUUAGUAUAGAUAAUAUCCAACAAGGACUGACUUACCUGAAACAAUAUUAAAUAUGACUUGAUAAACUGUAAAUAUAGUAUAACAUGUUAUAUAUUACAGAUACACGUCAACAACAACAACAACAAUUAUUUGAUGCCUGUCUCGAUGGUACUUUGGAUGAUAUAAAAAACAUGGUGAACAUAGAUGUUAACGUCAGAGACAGUAUGUGGGACCAGACACCGUUAUUUAAAUGUUGUAUGUCACGUGUAAGUCCUGUAGAUAAAAUAAAAUAUCUAGUCAGUCAUCAUCAGGCUGAUAUUAACGUUAGAACCAGUUAUAAUAAUACCAUCUUACACGAGGCAUGUUGGCGUGGUACUUUAUCUACAGUACAAUAUCUUGUUGAUGAUUUACACAUGAAUGUUCAUACAACAGGUCGUUACAACAGUACACCGUUAUUUUACUGUUGUAUGUCAAGUGUAAGUACUGUAGAUAAAAUACAAUAUCUAGUCAGUCAUCAGGCUGAUAUUAAAGCUAGAGACAGUGAUAAUAAUACCAUCUUACACUGGGCAUGUUGGCUUGGUACUUUAUCUACAGUACAAUAUCUUGUUGAUGAUUUACACAUGAAUGUUAAUACAACAGGUCGUUACAACAGUACACCGUUAUUUUACUGUUGUAUGUCAAGUGUAAGUACUGUAGAUAAAAUACAAUAUCUAGUCAGUCAUCAGGCUGAUAUUAACGCUAGAGACAGUUAUAAUGAUACCAUCUUACACGAGGCAUGUAGGUUUGGUACUUUAUCUACAGUACAAUAUCUAGUUGAUUGUUUACAUCUAGAUCUACAUGUCAAGAAUAACCGUAGUCAAACAGUUCUAGAUUAUUGUAGGAAAUCAGCCACUGAACAAGAUGAAAAGAUAAAAUAUAUCACAGAUCAAAUGAAAUUAAAAUAAACAAGUUAUAAUAAUUCAUGUAAACUAGUCAACAUAAUGUUAUUGUCUCUAGUCAUACAAUUUACAGUUUUAUUGUCUCUUGUCAACAGUUAAAACUACUGAUGACGUAUUAUACUGUCUCUAGUCAACAGUUAAAACUACUGAUGACGUAUUACACUGUCUCUAGUCAACUACUGAUGACGUAUUACACUGUCUGUAGUCAACAGUUAAACCUACUGAUGACGUAUUAUAUUGUCUCUGGUCAACAGUUAAAACUACUGAUGACGUAUUACACUGUCUGUAGUCAACAGUUAAAACUACCGAUGACGUAUUACACUGUCUCUGGUCAACAUUUAAAACUACUGAUGACGUAUUACACUGUCUCUGGUCAACAUUUAAAACUACUGAUGACGUAUUACACUGUCCCUGGUCAACAUUUAAAACUACUGAUGACGUAUUACACUGUCUGUAGUCAACAGUUAAAACUUCUGAUGACGUAUUAUACUGUCUCUAGUCAACAGUUCAAACUACCGAUGACGUAUUACACUGUCUCUGGUCAACAUUUAAAACUACUGAUGACGUAUUACACUCUCUCUGGUCAACAUUUAAAACUACUGAUGACGUAUUAUACUGUCUCUAGUCAACAGUUAAGACUACUGAUGACGUAUUAUACUGUCUGUAGUCAACAGUUAAAACUACUGAUGACGUAUUACACUGUCUGUAGUCAAUAGUUAAACUACUGAUGACGUAUUUGUAUUUUAUCUACAGGACUAAUACUGUGUUUAUAUUUAUUGUUUAUUUUAUUGUUUAAUUUAUUUAAAAUGUCUUCAAUAUUUUUUUUGUAUAUAUUUAUUUUCAAUGAAAAAUACUGUUUACAAAAACUCGUGUUUAUUUUUAUACGUUCAAUCGUGUCUUUGCGCUUGUGUCUAUGUUUGGCCCACAGACUUCAAUUCUUUGGUGCAUGCCCAAGCACCAGGGACAGAGCCAUGCCCAAUGUCCUUUAUUUAGGUGCAUGUCCAACCCCCAGGGGUGGUGAAAUGAAAUGAAAUGGGGUUUAACGUCCUAUAGGUCUGCUCCGACUGGUCUAAUGAAGACGGACAUUCACCAUACAAUGUGCUAUGACCAGUGCCGGACUGGGCCCACCUGUCCACCUAAGCUCAUUUAAAAAAUGUGGGCCUAAGCCCAUAAAGAAAAAAGAGAAAGAAAAAAGAGAAAGACAGGAGGGGGGAGGAAAGAAAAGAAAUCUGUUAUCUAAGUGUAUCAGGAAAUCAAAAAUUUGCCAUUUUCUGCUUUGGUGUGAAAUGCUUGGAAAAUGGGUUUGUGGUUGUCAAUUUUCAAAAUCUUUCUGGGGGAGACCCCCCCCCCCCCAAAAAAAAAAAAAACCCUCGGACGUUCGUGAGACUUCGGCGCUUACUUAGGUGGGCCUUGGUUAAUGGCCUGACAGGUGGGCCUUUGGUCCGGCACUGGCUAUGACUGAUAUUUUGCCAGAACAGCGGCGCUACGACCUACUCUUAUUGCGAAUUCCAACUGCCAAGGGAUCUUUUACGUGCACGCCAAUGUGUAUAAGGGACCUAGGUUUUUCGUCAAAUCCGAAGG